GGAGAGGUGGCAGAGUGGACGAAUGCACCGGUCUUGAAAACCGGAGCCCCGGCAACGGGGCCGAGGGUUCGAAUCCCUCCCUCUCCG
RNAcentral lists this transfer RNA (87 nucleotides) under Candidatus Buchananbacteria bacterium. RNAcentral's name for it is "tRNA-Ser". It matches the Rfam family "tRNA". Rfam says of the family: Transfer RNA (tRNA) molecules are approximately 80 nucleotides in length. Their secondary structure includes four short double-helical elements and three loops (D, anti-codon, and T loops). The record is from RNAcentral. Lineage: Bacteria; Candidatus Buchananiibacteriota.